This 1898-nucleotide ribosomal RNA is filed under the name human gut metagenome. RNAcentral describes it as "bacterial LSU rRNA". It matches the Rfam family "Bacterial large subunit ribosomal RNA", at positions 3 to 1991 of the family's 2925-position model. The record is from RNAcentral.
UUAAGCUAAGAAGAGCGUAGGGAGAAUGCCUUGGCAUUAGGAGCCGACGAAGGACGUGAUAAGCUGCGAUAAGCUGCGGGGAUCAGCAAGUAUGAAUUGAUCCGCAGAUUUCCGAAUGGAGCAAUCCGUAUGUGUAUGCACAUACAUCAUAUACUGAAUCAAAUAGGUAUAUGAGGGGAACCGCCUGAACUGAAACAUCUAAGUAGGGCGAGGAAGAGAAAUCAACCGAGAUUCUGUGAGUAGUGGCGAGCGAAAGCGGAAGAGGCUAAACCAUAGGUAGCAAUACUUAUGGGGUUUCGGACAGCAUUUAGUAUUGAUAAUUUCUAGUUGAAACGUGUGGGAAAACGUACCGAAGAGUGUGAGAGUCACGUAAGCGAAAGAGAAAGUCAGCGAGCUGUAUCCAAAGUACCGCGGGACACGUGAAACCCCGUGGGAAGAUGGGGGGACCAUCCUCCAAGCCUAAAUACUACCUAAUGACCGAUAGCGAAUAGUACUGUGAAGGAACGGUGAAAAGAACCCCGGGAGGGGAGUGAAAAAGAACCUGAAACCCUAUGCUUACAAGCACCGAGAGCACGUCAAAGUGUGAUCGGGUACCUUUUGUAGAAUGGUCCGGCGAGUUAUUGUAUGCGGCAAGGUUAAGUGCUUAAGGCACGGAGCCGAAGCGAGAGCAAGUCUGAAUAGGGCGAGUAAGUCGUAUGCAAUAGACCCGAAACCGAGUGACCUAUCCAUGUCCAGGCUGAAGUGGAGGUAAAACUCCAUGGAGGGCCGAACACACGUCCGUUGAAAAGGCCGGUGAUGAGGUGUGGAUAGCGGAGAAAUUCCAAUCGAACUCGGAUAUAGCUGGUUCUCUCCGAAAUAGCUUUAGGGCUAGCCUCGUGAAAGAUUACUGGAGGUAAAGCACUGAAUGGGCUAGGGGUCGAAAGAUUACUGAACCCUAUCAAACUAAGAAUGCCAGAUAAUUGAUUCACGGGAGUCAGACAAUGUGAGAUAAGUCUCAUUGUCAAAAGGGAAACAGCCCAGACCCACAGCUAAGGUCCCUAAACAUUGUUAAGUGGAAAAGGAUGUGGGGUUGCAUAAACAACCAGGAUGUUGGCUUAGAAGCAGCCACUCAUUAAAAGAGUGCGUAAUAGCUCACUGGUCGAGUGACCCUGCGCCGAAAAUUCAACGGGGCUAAACAAUGUACCGAAGCUUGGGAUUCUAAAGUAAUUUAGAGUGGUAGGAGAGCGUCGAAUAAGGGGUGAAGUCAGAGCGGAAGCGCUGGUGGACUUUAUUCGAGUGAGAAUGCCGGAAUGAGUAGCGAGAAUUAUGUGAGAAUCAUAAUGGCCGAAAAUCUAAGGUUUCCUGAGGAAGGUUCGUCCGCUCAGGGUAAGCCGGGGGCUAAGGCGAGGCGGAGACGCGUAGCCGAUGCACAUACGGUUGAAAUUCCGUAGCCACCGAAAGAUUUAAGUACAGGGACGCUUUAGAAGUGAUGUUGCCGGGCGAUGGUUGACCCGGUCGUAAGGGAUCGAAAAUGAGUAGAGAAGUCAUCAUGGAAAGAGACAAGAAAAGCUGUAUGGAUAUCUUAGGUGCCCGUACCGCAAACCGACACAGGUAGAUAGGAAGAAGAUUCUAAGGCCAACGGGAGAAGGGUUGUUAAGGAACUCGGCAAGUUGACCCCGUAACUUAGGGAUAAGGGGUGCUCAAGUGAUUGAGCCGCAGAGAAUAGGCCCAGGCGACUGUUUAGCAAAAACACAGGUCUCUGCUAAAUCGAAAGAUGACGUAUAGGGGCUGACACCUGCCCGGUGCCGGAAGGUUAAGAGGAGAUGUGAGAGCAUUGAAUUGAAGCCCCGGUAAACGGCGGCCGUAACUAUAACGGUCCUAAGGUAGCGAAAUUCCUUGUCAGGUAAGUUCUGACCCGC